Molecule: ribosomal RNA, 301 nt
Filed under: uncultured bacterium
Lineage: Bacteria
Description: partial 16S ribosomal RNA
Rfam family: Bacterial small subunit ribosomal RNA
Source: RNAcentral
CAGUAGCCGCGGUAAUACGUAGGUGGCAAGCGUUGUCCGGAAUUAUUGGGCGUAAAGCGUGCGCAGGCGGUUUUGUAAGACGGGCGUGAAAUCCCCGGGCUCAACCUGGGAAUGGCGCUUGUGACUGCAAAGCUAGAGUGCGGCAGAGGGGGAUGGAAUUCCGCGUGUAGCAGUGAAAUGCGUAGAUAUGCGGAGGAACACCGAUGGCGAAGGCAAUCCCCUGGGCCUGCACUGACGCUCAUGCACGAAAGCGUGGGGAGCAAACAGGAUUAGAUACCCCAGUAGUCCCUGUCUCUUAUAC